This 411-nucleotide ribosomal RNA is filed under the name Priestia aryabhattai. Its description in RNAcentral is "partial 23S ribosomal RNA". It matches the Rfam family "Bacterial large subunit ribosomal RNA", at positions 1 to 403 of the family's 2925-position model. The record is from RNAcentral. Lineage: Bacteria; Bacillati; Bacillota; Bacilli; Caryophanales; Bacillaceae.
AUGGUUAAGUUAGAAAGGGCGCACGGUGAAUGCCUUGGCACUAGGAGCCGAUGAAGGACGGGACUAACACCGAUAUGCUUCGGGGAGCUGUAAGUGAGCUUUGAUCCGGAGAUUUCCGAAUGGGGAAACCCACUGUUCGUAAUGGAACAGUAUCUUUAUCUGAAUACAUAGGAUAUUGAAGGCAGACCCGGGGAACUGAAACAUCUAAGUACCCGGAGGAAGAGAAAGCAAAUGCGAUUUCCUGAGUAGCGGCGAGCGAAACGGAAUUAGCCCAAACCAAGAGGCUUGCCUCUUGGGGUUGUAGGACACUCUAUACGGAGUUACAAAGGAACGAAGUAAAUGAAGCGACCUGGAAAGGUCCGUCAAAGAAGGUAACAACCCUGUAGUUGAAACUUCGUUCCCUCUUGAGUG